Molecule: ribosomal RNA, 1320 nt
Filed under: Triticum aestivum (bread wheat)
Lineage: Eukaryota; Viridiplantae; Streptophyta; Magnoliopsida; Poales; Poaceae
Description: partial small subunit ribosomal RNA
Source: RNAcentral
AUGGCUGGAAUAAUGGUGAGCGCUUCUACCGGGGUGAUGAACUCUCUCCUGGGUAAGCUGGCCACCCUGAUGGGGGACGAGUUUGCCAAGCUAAAGAACCUGAGAAACGAGGUGAAGGACAUCAGCAAUGAGCUGAGCAGCAUGAAGGAUGCUCUAGAGUGCCUUGCUGAUGUGGAUGAGCUCGAUAUACAGACCGCAAGGUGGAGGGACGCGGUCAGGGAGAUGUCUUACGACAUUGAGGAUAUCGUCAAUGACUUCAUGUGCAAAAUUGGGGAGAAACACAAAAAAUCUGGGUUUGUCCAUGAGAUUAUUCAACGCCUCAAAACAUCAAAGGACCGCCAUCAGAUUGCUGGGCAGAUCGAGGAGAUCAAGAAACUUGUGCAUGAAACAAGUGAACGGCGUGAAAGAUAUAGGCUCAAUGUCCUCACAUCAGGCAAUUUGGCAGUUGAUCAACGAGUUGUCGCACUCUAUGAGAAUGCAUCUAAACGUGUUGGUAUGGAGGGCCCAACCAAUGAACUUGUCAUUUGGCUAGAAGACGAGGAGAAGAAGUUGAAGAUUGUAUCAAUUGUUGGUUUUGGAGGUUUAGGUAAAACAACACUCGCCAAUGAGGUAUACCGUAAGCUGAAGGGAGAAUUUCAUUGUGGUGGAUUUGUGCCAGUGUCUCAAAAGCCAAAUAUUUCAAAACUUCUGCAUAGUUUACUAAUCCAACUCGGGUGUGGACAAUCUUUUAAAGAUUGUGAGUUAAAUGUACUUCUCGACCAGCUCAGAGAAAAUCUAGAAAAUAAGAGGUACAUCAUUAUCAUCGAUGAUCUAUGGGAUGUAUCAGCAUGGGGUAUUAUUAAAUGUGCUUUCCCUGAAAAUGAUCUUGGUAGCAGAUUAAUAGUAACUACAAGAAUCAAGAAUGUGGGUGAGGCAUGUUGUUUGGGUCACCACAAGCGCAUUCUGGAAAUGAAACCUCUUAGUGAAGAAGACUCAAGAAAAUUGUUUUUCGAUAGGAUAUUUUGUUCUGAAGAAGCUUGUCCAGGUCAACUCCGAGAUGUUUCAGUUGAGAUUCUCAAGAAAUGUGGUGGCUUGCCACUUGCAAUCAUUAGCAUAUCCAGCCUAUUAGCAAGCGGAAGUUCCCACCAAUAUGAGAGGUGGAAACUUGUAUGGAAUUCUUUGAGGUCAGUAUCGGACACAAAUCUCACCUUGGAAGCAAUGAGACAGAUCUUGAACCUUAGCUACAAAAAUCUUCCUCACCACCUCAAGACAUGCUUCUUGUAUCUUGGCAUGUUUCCAGAGGACUAUAUAAUAGAGACGACUGUUUUGAUGGGUCAGUGA